This 220-nucleotide long non-coding RNA is filed under the name Carica papaya (papaya). RNAcentral describes it as "long non-coding RNA (CPAP_LNC001751)". Lineage: Eukaryota; Viridiplantae; Streptophyta; Magnoliopsida; Brassicales; Caricaceae. The record is from RNAcentral.
UAUGGUACGAUCUAUAACCACGAUCAUACUAGCUAUAGUGGCAUUAACAGAUAUCUAUAGUCACGAUAUUACUUAGCCAUGAGUGACACCUACAGAUAGUGCGACACCACUUUCGUCAGAAGGUAUGUUAUCAUCCACAGGGAGUGGUUCUCUUGUAUCUUUCAAGACCAAUAGGGGGUGGGGAUACUGAUACCCCAAAGGGCAAGGAGAACAGAUUCCU